This 287-nucleotide ribosomal RNA is filed under the name uncultured bacterium. Its description in RNAcentral is "partial 16S ribosomal RNA". It matches the Rfam family "Bacterial small subunit ribosomal RNA", at positions 55 to 339 of the family's 1533-position model. The record is from RNAcentral.
AUGCAAGUCGAGGGGCAGCGCGGGGCGGCAACGUCCUGGCGGCGACCGGCGGAAGGGUGCGUAACGCGUGAGCGACAUGCCCGUUGCCCGGGGACAACCGGUGGAAACGCCGACUAAUCCCCGAUGGGAUAUUGUGCCGCAUGGCACGAUAUUGAAAGUUACGGCGGCGACGGAUUGGCUCGCGUCCGAUUAGCUAGUUGGCGGGGUAACGGCCCACCAAGGCUACGAUCGGUAGGGGUUCUGAGAGGAAGGUCCCCACAAUGGGACUGAGACACGGCCCAUACUCC